GUGUCAGCCGCCGCGGUAAUACGUAGGGUGCAAGCGUUAAUCGGAAUUACUGGGCGUAAAGCGUGCGCAGGCGGUUUUGUAAGACAGUGGUGAAAUCCCCUGGCUCAACCUGAGAACUGCCAUUGUGACUGCAAAGCUAGAGUGCGGCAGAGGGGGAUGGAAUUCCGCGUGUAGCAGUGAAAUGCGUAGAUAUGCGGAGGAACACCGAUGGCGAAGGCAAUCCCCUGGGCCUGCACUGACGCUCAUGCACGAAAGCGUGGGGAGCAAACAGGAUUAGAUACCCUGGUAGUCCACGCCCUAAACGAUGUCAACCGGUUGUUGGGAAUUUAUUUUCUCAGUAACGAAGCUAACGCGUGAAGUUGACCGCCUGGGGAGUACGGCCGCAAGGUUAAAACUCAAAGGAAUUGACGG
RNAcentral lists this ribosomal RNA (411 nucleotides) under uncultured bacterium. Its description in RNAcentral is "bacterial SSU rRNA". It matches the Rfam family "Bacterial small subunit ribosomal RNA", at positions 505 to 916 of the family's 1533-position model. The record is from RNAcentral.